UGGGGAAUCUUGCGCAAUGCGCGAAAGCGUGACGCAGCAACGCCGCGUGGGGGAAGAAGGCUCUCGGGUCGUAAACCCCUUUCAGUUGGGACGAAGCUUCUCCGGUGAAUAGCCGGACGGAGUGACGGUACCUUCACAAGAAGCCCCGGCUAACUACGUGCCAGCAGCCGCGGUAAUACGUAGGGGGCAAGCGUUGUCCGGAAUCAUUGGGCGUAAAGCGCGUGUAGGCGGCUUGAUAAGUCUGUUGUGAAAGUCCAGGGCUCAACCCUGGAAUGCCGAUGGAUACUGUCAAGCUCGAGUCCGGAAGAGGCGAGUGGAAUUCCUGGUGUAGCGGUGAAAUGCGCAGAUAUCGGGAGGAACACCCGUGGCGAAGGCGGCCUUCUGGACGGAUACUGACGCUGAUACGCGAAAGCGUGGGGAGCAAACAGGAUUAGAUACCCUGGUAGUCCACGCUGUAAACGAUGGGCACUAGGUGUCGCGGGUAUUGACCCCUGCGGUGCCGCAGCUAACGCACUAAGUGCCCCGCCUGGGGACUACGGCCGCAAGGUUA
RNAcentral lists this ribosomal RNA (550 nucleotides) under uncultured bacterium. Its description in RNAcentral is "bacterial SSU rRNA". It matches the Rfam family "Bacterial small subunit ribosomal RNA", at positions 355 to 896 of the family's 1533-position model. The record is from RNAcentral.